This is a long non-coding RNA of Canis lupus familiaris (dog), 1466 nucleotides long. RefSeq lists it as uncharacterized. The transcript is spliced from 2 exons. Lineage: Eukaryota; Metazoa; Chordata; Mammalia; Carnivora; Canidae. The record is from RefSeq and is a predicted model, not a curated record.
UCUUGCCCUUAGACAUAAAGAUUUCAUAGUAUAAAGAUGUUGAUUCUCACAAAAUUACUUUUAAUAGCUGAAUAUAAACCCAAUAAAAAUACAAGUGACCCUUCCGUCCCUUCUCCCUCCCUUCAAAACUAGAUAUCUCCCUAGACCCUGCCUAUCCUUUUGUAUGCAGUCUCCUUAUUAGCCUCUUCUUGAUUACCCAGUUCAUGCAGGCCAUCUGUUUCCAGCAAGACCCCAUCUGCUAAAUACAAUGAAUGUCCUGGGAGUGGGUCUAGGAAACAGACCCUCAAAAUAAGAUUGGGGACUGCAUUGUUCCCAUAUUUAAGAAGUGAGUAAUGGGACACUGGUAAACCAUGGCAUGCAGUGGCAUCUCAGGCAUUCAACAUGUCACUGAUGAUGUCAUAGGAGAGGAAUGCAAAACAAUGGGAGAUCUAAGGGCUGAGAAACACACCUUGUGGCAACAAAAGGGACAGGAAAGGCAGUGAGGUCACCUGGCCACUUCUGAUGGUCCCUGAGUAUAAAGGGAGAACAGGGAAAAGGACAAACUGAAGAGGCAGGUGUACUGGCCAAAGCUAGAACUCCACCUACCAGUUUCAACUAAUGAUUCAUGUGUAUUUUUGCCCAAGAACCUACUGACAUUGCUCCGGAAGGACUGGAUCACACAUUCGUCACUGAAAACUUAUAGCUCCCAAGUAUCUACACACCAGUUCCAAGCUGCCAUCCCAGCUGCAGCCCUUCCACGGAGGGAUGAGGCAGUGUCCUGUCCGGUUCGACAUGGCUCUCCUAGCCCUGGCCAACUCCCUUCUUCCCCACAGGCCUCAAGUUCUGGCCCCACUUCUUUAUCCAUUCAAGAGGAGAGCAAAACUCACCUUCCUGGGCUACCUCUGUCUACCCUUCUGGAAUGCUUCCCGCCCUAGGCUUGUACCACACAGUUUUCACCCCAUUAUUCACUAUUCCACACAACUGUUUCAGUAGCCAGAUCAAGCUCCCCACCCUGGUUAUCCAUAGCCCUUGGCUGUUAGGAACACAAGGGUGAGGUUGAGGGGUAUCCCUGGGUGGCUCAGCAGUUUAGCGCCUGCCUUUGGCCCAGGGUGUGAUCCUGGGGUCUCGGGAUCAAGUGCCGCAUCAGGCUCCCUGCAUGGAGCCUGCUUCUCCCUCUGCCUGUGUCUCUGCCUCUCUCUCUGUCUCUCAUGAAUAAAUAAAAUCUUAAAAAAAAAGAAAAGAAACAAGGGUGAGGUUGACCAUGGUGAUCAAGGCUCAGAAUUCAAGCAUUAUUCCUUCCUGUGUGCUCGUGACUAAUUUCUAGUCAUGAAUUAUGGAAAAAAGAGGCGUGAGGAAAAUGAGUCACAUUUCAGAGUAGAUUAAAACAUGUCCUUCUACUUCUAAAAUGAAUCACAGAGAAGAACUAAACACAAGUUUUCAGCUACAGAAAACACAUGAAGAAAAAAAAAAGAAAGAAAGAAAACACA